GUGAACGCUGGCGGUAGGCCUAACACAUGCCCGUCGAACGGCAGCACCGUAAGAGCUUGCUCUUACGGGUGGCGAGUGGCGGACGGGUGAGGAAUACAUCGGAAUCUACUUUUUCGUGGGGGAUAACGUAGGGAAACUUACGCUAAUACCGCAUACGACCUACGGGUGAAAGCAGGGGAUCUUCGGACCUUGCGCGAUUGAAUGCGCCGAUGUCGGAUUAGCUAGUUGGCGGGGUAAAGGCCCACCAAGGCGACGAUCCGUAGCUGGUCUGAGAGGAUGAUCAGCCACACUGGAACUGAGACACGGUCCAGACUCCUACGGGAGGCAGCAGUGGGGAAUAUUGGACAAUGGGCGCAAGCCUGAUCCAGCCAUACCGCGUGGGUGAAGAAGGCCUUCGGGUUGUAAAGCCCUUUUGUUGGGAAAGAAAAGCAGCAGGUUAAUACCCCGCUGUUCUGACGGUACCCAAAGAAUAAGCACCGGCUAACUUCGUG
This 491-nucleotide ribosomal RNA is filed under the name uncultured bacterium. RNAcentral's name for it is "partial 16S ribosomal RNA". It matches the Rfam family "Bacterial small subunit ribosomal RNA", at positions 29 to 507 of the family's 1533-position model. The record is from RNAcentral.